This 16629-nucleotide long non-coding RNA is filed under the name Triticum aestivum (bread wheat). RNAcentral describes it as "long non-coding RNA (TAES_LNC011051)". Lineage: Eukaryota; Viridiplantae; Streptophyta; Magnoliopsida; Poales; Poaceae. The record is from RNAcentral.
AGCAUGGGAGGGUGAGAAGAACAGAGGUGGAGGCAGGACCGCGAUGCCGGAGCUCUAGGCGUCGCUCGCGUUGUCGUGGAGUGGAGAAGUGUCGCCGGCCAUGACUGAUGGUUGUUGCUCACCGGCCGUCGUCCCCUGUACCCAAUCCAGGUUGCACGUCCUCACACCGCCCACCCCCCUACCUCUUGAUCCCCCCAGUUCUCUGGUAAUCUGAUUUCGAUUUCUUUAUUUUUGUAAACAUGAUGUGCACAUCUGAGAAAGAAGAGGAGAGGAAGAAUCCUGAGGAAGAGUUUGAUGAAAGGGUACUCUCUCUCACAAAGUCAAGUUUUUUCUGCAUUCUGAUAUUUGUUUGUUCGGAAAGAUGUAGUAGCACCCGGGGGUCCCGGCACCCCAUUAUCCUAUCCGUUGAAUCACAUCGAGAUUCAUGCAGGCCUUGACGAGUUACAAACAACAGGAUGCUUAGUGAGGCCAUUUGACUCAUCUGACAAGCGAUAUGUACUAGGCCUUAGGUCUAAUUAGCAGGUAGUAGGUCUGACGAGCCUGUUUCCGACAGGAGUGACAGGCUGGGUCACGUUCUACACAGUCAAAGCGGCGCCUGCCAUAACCGGAACCGUUUGCUUCGGAGACAGUAAUUUGCAGAGACAUUUGCAGCUCAUCUCCACUACUCUAAAUUGGAAUCCUCUUGAUAAAGGUGGGACUCAGCGCAUUGAAAACAGCAUCUCGUCUCCACUCCUCUGCUCGGCAGUCAUAUCAGAGACAUGAACAGUAUCCGCGAACAUUGGCCCUGUUUGGAUCUAUAGGUUAGAGUUAGUUUGGGUUAGUUUGGCCUCAACUAACCCAAAAAGAUCCAAACAGGGAGGGUUAGUUUGGGUUAGAUGCAUCUAAUCCAUCCAAAAAACUAACCCAUCCAAGGGGUGCUUAUUUGGGUUAGUUCUUUUUGGAACCACUAAAAAACACAUUUUUCUCUCGCUCUUCCCGCAGCAGCCCCGCCUAUCCUCCCGUUCCAACCCCUCGUCUCCGCGCGACCCGUCUGCCCGCCAGUAUGCAAUCGCGGUUCCUUGCGCGGCCUGUCCCCGCCGGCAUCGGCCAGCACGGUUCAUUGCGCAGGGAUGGCGGAUUCGGCCGGCGGGCUGCGCGAGAGGCUAGCGCGGCUCCUUGUCGGGCGCGUCCCAGUCUGCCUCGGACAGCGCAGCUCUCGGCCAGCUCUCGGCCAAAUGAUUGAGAAAGAGCAUUUAUUGUCAAUCUAACCCUGCCAUCCAAACACCUUUUUGGUUUGAGUUAGUUCAGGGUUAGUUCAGGAUUAGAAACUAACUCUAACCUCUAACUAAGUUAGAGUAUCCAAACAGGGCCAUUUCCUCUCGCUCUAUAAAAACCACUCUGGGUCAAGAGAUUGGAACAGUAUCCCCUGUGCAUGUGCUGCACGCUGGAGAGAGACAGAGAUUGGAACAGUGAUGUGAUGUGCUGCGUUGGUUACCUUUUGAUUUUUUAAUUCACAGGCUGGACAACGACCAGGCUAUGAAGAUGGGAAUCUGCACUGUUCAUAUAGGCCUGCUAAUGCAAAACCAUUGCAUGGCAUGGCACAGUUCUCUCAGACUUGUGAUCCAUGCGAGCAGCUCCUGAUUGCCGGGUGCCCCGGCCCCCGGGUGUUGAAAAGCCGGUCUCUUGUUUGUUUUAGCCAUGUUUAGAUUAGUUUCUAUGUAUGCCAACUAUUUUGUUUGCUUAUAUUCCAGCGACCUAUGUUCCAUACUGAAUGCAUAUUUGUGCAGUGGUUCUUAGUUAUAUUCUGAUAAAGAGAGAAAAAAUUGGGGAUAGAGGUAUAAGGCCUUAGAUUCUUUGCCUCCAACAGAAGAAAUGAUUCAUGUGUGCCUCCCUUUUUGUUAUAUCUUACAUACUUUUUUACCUGGGCAGAUAUCACAUAGUCAUGGUUGGCAGCUAAUAUCCAAAAUUUUAGUGUUGUUAGUACACUGAGGUUUAUCUUAUUUUGUAAAGGUUUUGUCUAUCAAGAACUACAUAUGCUCGACAUGGUGUCGUGGUAUCUAUAGUUGUUGUGGAGCCUGCUGGUAUUCUCACCUUCCACUGCCUCUUUCCCCUCUCUGUAUGAACCCUUUCCUCAUUUGUUUUUGUUCGUGAUAUACUUUGCUUGUUUUGGCACCUUUUAAUUGAUGCAUUAUUCUGUCUAUUUUUUUUGUACUCAGGUGCCUAUGCGAGCUACAUUGGAAGAAUCCAUGUAUUUAGUUGUGGCAUGUUUGGCAGCUACAGCAGCUUGAUAAUUAAUUAGUUCUCAUCCAAGGUGAUUUACUUCUCCCCUUUCUUUUCCAAGAGGCAAAUAAUUGGCUGCUAAUUAGCAGCUUGGUUAUUUUCUAUCUCAAGUGUGAUUGUCGUCUUUGCCCUGCUGCUUAGUUCUGCUCCCUGCUGUGACUAUAUUUUGCGAGGCACUAAUAAGCAACAAUUGCACAAGGUCUAUGCCAGAACUAUCUUAGAUUAGGCACUAAUUUCUUUUGUACUUGUCUAGCAUUUGAAGAGUCCAUAUGUGAGUGGAUCUCCUUUUGCUUUGUCAUGCUACUGAAUGUCUGAACCCAUUUUUUGGGAAUAAUAAUAUAUAUGACAAGAAACCAUUUAUUCUCUCUCUGUCAAUAUUGAUAUGAGCUGUGCAUAUUUUUGGUUGUCAGUGAUAUAUGAUUUGUAAUUUCUAAUUGAUCCGUUCAAUUAUUUGAGAUAUCAUCAGUACAAAGCAUAUGUUCUAAACAAUGUAGUUUCAAAAUACAAAAAAAAUCUCAGAGGAAGGCUUUGUUAAGCAAAUACAUUUCGGUUCAUAUCGGCUAUUUGCGCCAUUGGCGCCAUCUUCCACACGCGCCCACUCCCGACACAGCUCCACUUCGGCAGCAUCUUGCUGCUCGAUGGCGACACCGACGGCUGCCCAUGUGGACGACUAAAACGGGGCUUUGCCAUGAUGAGUGGGUGGACGAGGAGAUGCAACAGCAGCAGGCUCGUGCAUCACCGCAUGCUACGGAUUCAUGCCUGUACCAUUUAGGAGGAGACAGGAUGGCAGCAGGUCCGCGCAUCGGCGCCAGCCGCAGGUUGACUGGCCGGCAUCAGCUCAGGGGCGUGAUGUGGGUAGCCCUGACCUGCAGAAUCACGCCCACGCCGCAUCCUCCGAGGUGCUCACCGUGCCCUACAUCUCUGUAGGCGCACGUCGGGCAGGAGCUUAGCCCCAUGUUAUUGCUCAAGGUUUGGCCGUGUUCACACUUGGAAUUAGUCCUUUAAAUGAUGGAUUAUUCAAUGUUUGCGCGGGUGGAUGUUAGUGGAAAUUCAUCUGCAACACAUAGUUGUUCGACAAAUCACCAUAUCUCUGAAUGUGUUGAUAUAUUUGUAAGAGAGACCAUACAUGGCGCAGGGUCAUGCAUCGUGAGCUAGCGUUGGAGGUAAUUGGAAAGUUCAUUGUGGAGUGAACAAGGGUUGAGGCAGUGUAAAAGGUGCACAAGGUACUAGAAUACACUGACAUACAUUAUAUUCUUCCAAUCAAUUAAUUGUUGUGUGAUGAAACACAUUCGGUUCUUUAGUUUAUCCAUGACAAACAUUGUAGCCUCCAGACUUUUGCAAAGUACUUAUGUUUAUUGUGACAAGUGUGCAUGCAUCGUGGUUUGGUGACUCCUCUGUAGUGUUGUACACAGUCUUGUAAUAUAAGCCAAGAGGUCCAGACCAGAAGAAUUCAUUUGCUAACCAUUCCCGAACACCAGACAACACACGCGUUGAAAGUACAGGAAAUUAAUCUAUUCGCCUAAAAUCCUUGUGUCCGAAGAUUCUUCUUGAUGCAUGGACUGAACAGAGGUAUCAGAAACAGCGUUGAUACUCCCAGUUAAGUCUUUAGGCAAAACAGAAGCGACAAAUGUCAGAUACCAUAAGGCCAACGGAACCAUGUUAUCUACGGUUGCAAAAUAGAUUUUGUUCCAAGAAACAAGUUUUAGAGGGUCUCGGGUCUUAUAUCUUCAUGGCAGUUUUUUGACCGAGGUAAUAAGUCAUUGCAUUGCACUCAUAUUUUGCGUUUGGAAUACCAGGACAACCUUACUGAAAAUACAUUCCCUGUCUUAUUAUAAGCAUUAUUUCGAUAUUGUAACAAGUUGGAUAACCACACAAUUUUUCACUUUGUCGGCAACUUUGCAGUUCUCCUAUAGAUUGAUCAGGGACUACUUUUUCCCGGGGACUCUACUUAAAAUGCUCAAUACAGAAUUUGGAUUCUUGCAAAUUCCCUUUGGGCUUUGGUGUUGUUUGCCAUGGGUUGGGACUCUCGCUGCUGUGGUGUGUUUUGGUGCUGGUACAUAUUGUCAUACCUAAUCAAAAUUCCAGGUGAUGGCUUCGUUUUGUUGUAUUCUCUUAUGGCAGUAGUUAUGUUUGCACAUGAAUGCAUGCAGAUUUUCUACAUGUAAUUAACUACAGUGGUGUUAUCUGUGCAUAUUGACAAUAGCUUUUUAUGUGCCAUUUUCCCGAAAAAGGCUUACACCCCGCUUUAUAAAUAAAGCAACUGCCACAGAGCAUACAUACCACAUAGGUCCACACGAACACACACGAGUCUCACGGAAAAGAACAAAGGUUCUGCUGAGGGCACAGCUCAACAAGCCCAAAAAAGAAAAAAAAAGAAGAGAACAACAACAUCACAGCGCACCCAACACAAGGUGGCUAAUCGGGCUCCGGCGGUGGCGGCGGCGGCGGCGGCGAAAGGCGGACGGCCAUCGAUCGGAUGUCGGCGAUGAAGGCGGAGAUGGCGUCACGGUCCGAGGGGCGACUAAGCGGCCGCCAAAGCUGCAAGAAACCCGAGAAUUUGAAGAGAGCGUCAGUAGGGCGACGAAGGGGAGCGCGCUGGAUCACAAGUUUAUUGCGAACGGUCCACAACGUCCAAGCAAGCACCCCAACUUCCAGCCACCUAAUGUGGUGAGAGGAUACAGGGGACAGUUGGAGUUCAGCAAAAAGGUCCGGGAAGUUGGUGUGGCACCAAUUCCCUCCAACCACCUCGCGAACGCAGCUCCAGAGGAAUUGUGAGGAGAUGCAGGAGAAGAAGAUGUGGUUUGAGUCCUCCGGGACACCACAGAGCGGGCAGAUACCGGUGCCUGGGCCAUUGCGCUUGCGGACCUCCACACCAGACGGAAGCCUACCACGGAUCCAUUGCCACAUGAAGAUGCGAAUCUUCAGUGGCACCCGAACGAUCCAGAUCAUCGAUAAGGGGAGGGGUGCGGAGGAAGGGGCGAUGGCCGAAUAUAGCGACUUGGUGGUGAACAAGCCCGACGGCUCGAGCCGCCACCGGGUACGGUCCGGCCUGUCAUCCACCAGUGGCUCGUGCAAUGCGACACAGUCAAGCAACUCACGCCAGGCGGCGGAUUCCGCCGGCCCAAACGGUCGACGGAAGGCAAGGCGCCCCAGAUCAAGAAGGGCCCUAUUGACCGAUAUCAUGGGGUCAACGGAAAUAGAGAAAAGGACGGGGAAGCGGGCCGCGAAGGGGGAGUCACCAGCCCAACGAUCAUACCAGAAGAGAGUCGAGAGGCCAGAGCCCACGGAGAUGGAGGUCCCAAUGCGCAGCACUGGGAGAAGCUGAACAGUGGACUGCCAGAACUGGGAGCCGCCCGAUCUCUGGCAGAAGGCAAGGGGUUGACCCCGAAGGUAUUUAGUCCGGAUAAUGUCCAACCAGAGGCCGCCAUGGCCCUGGGCGAUGCGCCAGAGCCAGCGGGAGAGGAGCGCGAUGUUCAUCCGCUUGGAGCACAUGAUGCCCAGGCCACCUUGCUCCCGGGGCUUGCAGAUGUCAGACCAGCUGACCAUGUGGUACUUCUGCUUAUCAUGCUCACCAACCCAGUAGAAGCGAGACUGGAUCGUAGCAAUCUCCUUAUGUAGGGACUCAUGGAGGCUAUAGAAGCUCAUAAGGAACAACAGCAGGCUAGAGAGAGAAGAGUUGAUAAGAAUAGUUCGGGCCGCCUUGGAGAGCCAUCUCCCCUGCCAGGGCUCACACCGGGACUGGAGCUUAGAGAUAGCGGGCCUCAAGUCCGCGGCAGAAAGGCGCGAGUCGCUAAUGGGGGUCCCUAAGUAGGAGGAGGGGAAAGAGCCCAGGCGGCAAUUAAGCCGCUUGGCAAUGGCCAGAGACUCAGCGGGGGAGUAUCCCAUUACCAUGACGUCGCUCUUAUCAAAGUUGAUCUUGAGACCUGACAUCUGUUGGAAGCAUAUAAGGAGGAACUUGAGGUUGGCGAUGUCCAUCUCCGAGCCUUCGACCAUGAUGAUCGUGUCGUCAGCAUACUGAAGGAUGGAAAUCCCGGAUCCCCCAGAGAGAUGUGGGGUAAUCCCACGAAUGUGGCCAGCCGCCUUGGCCUUAUCAAGAAUGGCAGCCAAGGCGUCCACCACCAUAUUGAAGAGGAACGGGGAGAAGGGGUCGCCCUGGCGAACCCCACAGAGGGUAGGGAAGAAGGGACCAACCUCGCCGUUGAUGUUAACCGUCGUGCGACCGCAAGAGACCAUUUGCAUGACUCUAGUGAUCCAACGGUCAUCAAAGCCCUUCCGAAGAAGGACUUCUCUAAGGAAAGUCCAGCUGACCGAGUCAUAGGCUUUGUGAAAAUCGAUCUUCAAGAAAACCGCCUUGAGGUGUUUGGACCGGACCUCGUGAAGGACCUCAUGGAGGACCAAAACACCAUCCAGGAUAUAUCGUCCUCUAAUGAAGGCCGACUGGUUAGGAUGCGUAAUCCGGUCAGCCAGCAGGGUCACCCUAUUGGCGUACCCUUUGGCCAAGAUCCGGAAGAUCACAUUAAUGACCGUGAUCGGCCGGAACUGGAGGAUGUCAGACGCCCCAGGGAUCUUGGGGAUGAGGGAGAUGAUCCCAUAGUUGAGGCGACCUAGGUCGAUGGCACCCACAAAGAAUUCCUCAAAGAUGGCCAUGACCUCGGGUUUAAUCACGUUCCAGAAGGUCUGGAAGAAAAUAACAGGGAGGCCAUCAGGACCGGGAGCUGAAGAGGAAUUCAUCCCCUUGAUAGCCUCCCAGACCUCCUGCUCGGAGAAGGGAGCCGUCAGGGCGGCAUUUUCCGCCCUGGAGACUAGCUGAAUACCGGCCCAACAAUCCUGGGCGAGGGAAACGCCGCUCCGAGGAGCAGCGGAGAAAAGGGACCGAUAGAAGCCAUCGACAUGAGACCGGAUGUCGCGAGGGUCCUGAAGAAGAGUGUCCCCAUCCCAAAGGAGGGGUAUGGUGUUGCGCCUACGGCGACCGUUGGCGAUCGCCUGGAAGUAAGCGGUAUUCGCAUCACCCUUCAGGACCCACUUCUGGGCGCCCCGAAUGCGCCAAUAGGCCUCCUCAUCAGAGUGGAUCACGGAGAGUUGGUCUUCGAGGGCAUAACGGGAGAGCCAGUCAUCCGGAGACAAACCCACCGAGUCAGCCCGUAGGUCAAGAGCUUGAAUCGCGGAAAGCAGCGCUUUCUUGCGCUCUCUGGCAUCUCGCCCAAGGUUGGCCCCCCAUCCCUUCAUAAACUGUCUACCGCGUUUCGCACAGAAAUGCCACGUGUCAAUAGCCGAGGGAGGCCUGGGAUGGGGGUGGGCUCGGGCCUCAAUCCACCGGGCGCAAACCGCGUCCGUGAAUCCUGCCUGGGAGAUCCAGAAGGUCUCAAAGCGGAAGCGAGGAGUGAUCGGCGGGCGAUCGUCCGCAGAGGAGAGAAGGAGGGGGACAUGGUCCGAGCCAAUCCUAGUGAUGGCGCGGAGAGAGGAGAGGGGGCAACGGAGGUCCCAAUCCGGGGAGACAAGGACCCUGUCCAACACGGACUGGGUCGGGGAAGAUUGUCGAUUGGUCCAGGUGAACCGCGCACCAAUCCUAUCAAUCUCCCGAAGGGCGAGGUCAGCGAUGAAGUCAUUAAACAUCUGCAUUCUGGCAAAGCACACAUUGUCGUUGCUCUUGUCUGCCGCCACGCGCAGCAGGUUAAAGUCGCCACCCACCACCACGGGGAGGGAGGCAGCCGAGAUUUUAAGAUGAAGCUCAUCGAGGAAGGCAGCCGACCUACUAUGGUCGGCAGGCCCGUAGACAAUGAUGAUCUCCCAUUUGAAGUUGAGAGAUCUCUCGAAGAGCUCCAUGCUGACAUAGAAUUCCCCCCGGUCCAUACUGCCCACCUCGAAUGUGGCAUCCUUUACGCCUAAAGGAUGCCACCCGAGUGGCCCGAGCUCCCACUAGAAGGGAGCCAAUGCCACGCAAAGAGGUGGGAACUCAAACGAUCGAGCUCGGGGAGCGAGAAUUCGCGACGCAUGGUCUCCUGGAUAGCAACGAUGUCGAUGUGUUCCUCUCGCAUGUACUCCACAAGUUGGCGGCGACGACCCUCAUGGCCGAAGCCGCGGAUGUUCCAGAAGAGGGCCCGCAUUAUGGGGCCAUCGGGGGGCUGCUUGACCCCAGGACACGGGAGGCGCUUUGCGCGCGAAGAGCGGCAGUGCGGGAGCGGGUACGGCCUCGGAUCUCGCUCGGAGGUGGGGGAGCCGGUCGCCGCGGCCCGGAGGAAGAGGGAGGGAUCCCGUCCGCAGGGGCGUCCAGGGGGGAAAGGAGAGCAGCACGGGGCUCGGCAAGCUUCCCCUCAAGGAUCUCGCAGGCCCGGAUGGCAGCUAUCUGAACUAAAGGGGGGCCAACCUCCCCCCUGAAAAUAAUCGCAGAGUCGGAGGCCACUUUGGCAAGGCUGCCUAGGGGGAUAGAUUCUAGUGCAGAGAAGGAACAAGACGAAGCAGAGGGGGGGACAGGGGGUGUACCUGGCUCCAGGUUACGGGCAGCCGCGCGAAGCUCUGCUCGCUCGCGAAUGGGCAGAGCCGGGGAUCCCUCCGGGUGGGCCGCAUCCAGCCGCGCGCUCCGGCGAGAGGCCACCACCGGGGAGGAGGUCGACCUGCCGCGACGGGAGUACGCUGCAGUGCGGUGGGGAGGGGGCUGGGACGCCGUCGGGGUGAGCACGCGGGACGCCCCCUCCCUCAAGACCGGCGAAGAGGGCGACGUCGGCUGAGCUGGACCGGCGAAGCCAAAGAGGAGAGACUCAGCCAGUGGCGGCCCGGCCGGAGGUGGAGGAGGCGGAGGCGACGUGACGGGGAGAGGCGACGGAGCCGGGCCGUCGAGCGGGAGGGGGAGGGCGGCCUGGGCAUCCACCCUCCGAGGGGGGGACGGGUCGAGUGGGGCGCAGGCUGCCGGAGAGAAGGGGACCGCCGUCGGCGAAGCCCGCCCCUCCACAGGCGCCACCGACUCCCCGUGGGUGGAGGAGGCGACGAAGAGCAGGUCCGCCGAGAGCGUCCCAAUGGCAGGGGACGACAUAGGAGAGCGCGGGGAGGAGGCCGGGCGGACCAGCAUGCCCACACUGGAGAUGUCGCUCCCCUCGGAGGAGGAGACUGGCGCGAGAGCAAAGUCAGCCAGCAGAGGAAGGAGAGCGGCCUUGCGGCCCUGGUCCCCCCCCUGUCGGUGGGGGGUGGCGAGGGAGAGGGGGAGCGGGAGUCCUCAGAACCCCCCUCCUCAUCCGAGCGACGGGAGCGGUGCCGCCCGUGGUAGUCCCCACCGGCCCCCGGGUCGCCACCAGGGAGGCCAUCGUCGAAGGAACGGGACGCCCAAUGUGGUUGGGGGGCUCGGGGGCAAGUCUGAGGUCAAAGCCCUGGUCGUUGAAGAAGACGCGGACUGAGGUGCGGAGCUUGGUGGAGUCGACACACUUGACCUUGACCCGGACCUCCUCCUCCUUGCGGAGUGAGAGCUCGUCCACGGCCACCACCUUGCCCAGGAGACGGGACAUCUGGCGGAUGACGGGCUCGGACCGCGCAAUGUCGGGCAGGCCGGAGAUGAGGAUCCAGGCGGUGUCGAGGACAGCCACAGCCCGAGCGUCGAGAACCGGCUCGGAAAUCUCGACCACCAGCUGGUUGAGGGCGAGGGUGAUCCGGCCACUACGCGUCGCGUAGCCGUAGCUGGCAGAGUCGGGGAAGACGACGGGGAAGAUGUGGCCCGCGGUAGGAGUGGCCACCCAAUCCCAUUGUUGGCGGUAGAGGUGGUUGAGCUCCGCCUCGAUCAUCUCCGGGGAUGCCACGCCAUCGACGACAGUGACAAUCGCCUGGAGGGAGGGAGACGGUGGAGGAGCAUCCGGAACCUCGAGGUGGAAGAAGCCCAACCCCUCAAUCCCAUGCCCAUACAUCAUGAGCUCGGAGACCACCGGUCUAUCCGGGCACAGGAUGGCGGGGUGGCCGGGAUCCUUGCAGAGGUAGCAGCACUGGGGGUUGACGCAGGUGACCUGAGAGUGGCCCCUCACCCCACAGUUGAAGCAGGGGGGGCGAGGGAGGCCGGAGACGGGGCCCGGCGCGGGAGUGGAGCCAUGGCCCGCCGGCGGAGGCACGGGCGGCGCGGUGCGCACGCCACGCCUCUUCUUCUUUUUGGUCGGACCGGACCGACCAUGGCUGGGGCCACCACCCGGAGCCAGGGCCGGGGCCGCACCCCCGUAGGCUGCGGCAUGGGGCGGCACAUAGCGUCGGGGUUCCACCGGGGUGGGGAGGAUCCCAUCCCGGGGUCGGGGCGGGCUCGGCCGCGCGGUGCGGGAUGGGGAGGGAGAGCGGGCCCGACGGGAGGGUGGCGACGGAGAGCGCCGGCGACCACGCCAAUCGCCCGAGGAAGCCCUAGGGGAGCGGGACCGUCCACGGCCCUCGCGGCGGGGAGGAGAUCGGCGGCGAUCGCGGAGCUCGCGGAGCUCCCUCCGGAGCUCCUCCUCACGUCGAAGGCUGUCGGGGGAGGGGCGAGCAGGCUCCCGGUGGAGCUCGCCAGCCUUGCGCUUGUCCCGAGGCGCGGGAUCAUCCCACUCCCAUGGCAUGGCGCGCGAUGGCGAGGAGGGAGGGGACGGAUCCGGGNNNNNNNNNNNNNNNNNNNNNNNNNNNNNNNNNNNNNNNNNNNNNNNNNNNNNNNNNNNNNNNNNNNNNNNNNNNNNNNNNNNNNNNNNNNNNNNNNNNNNNNNNNNNNNNNNNNNNNNNNNNNNNNNNNNNNNNNNNNNNNNNNNNNNNNNNNNNNNNNNNNNNNNNNNNNNNNNNNNNNNNNNNNNNNNNNNNNNNNNNNNNNNNNNNNNNNNNNNNNNNNNNNNNNNNNNNNNNNNNNNNNNNNNNNNNNNNNNNNNNNNNNNNNNNNNNNNNNNNNNNNNNNNNNNNNNNNNNNNNNNNNNNNNNNNNNNNNNNNNNNNNNNNNNNNNNNNNNNNNNNNNNNNNNNNNNNNNNNNNNNNNNNNNNNNNNNNNNNNNNNNNNNNNNNNNNNNNNNNNNNNNNNNNNNNNNNNNNNNNNNNNNNNNAGGGGGGCCAGAUCGAGGGAGUUGUCAACGCCCUGGGCCUAGGUUCAGAAGUAGGCCGGCCCAGCCGGGGGGGAUGGGGGGGAGCUGAGCGGGCCGGUCCGAGGUAGGCCGGGGGAGGCCCAGGAGCGUGCAUGGGGGGUCCAACAGCCGGGGCGGGCCAGGGCCCAACAGCCCAGCCACCCGAGCGGUGCGGCCCACCAGCCGAGUGAGGGCGGGGCGGAGGGCUGGAACCCUACGGCCGCCAGCCAUGGGCACCGCCGCCGGCAUGGGGACGAGAAGGGAGGGCGGGAGGGCCACCGCGCCCCGGACCGCCUGCACCCGGAGACCGGAGGUCCCGAAGUGAGCGAUAAAUGGCCGGUACGGGGCGGCGCGGCGCGCCCGGCGCGAGAGAGCCGAGGAGGAGGAGUCCGCCGGCGCGAGAGAGCUGGGACCCGGCGGCCUAGCCGCCACCCCCGGGCGGCGCCACGAGGAGCAGGCGGCGCCCCUAUCGGAGCGCCCAGCCACGCCCCAGGUGCGCCCGUGCCUGCGACGGGGGGCCCGGCCGGCCAAGGUCCCAGCUUGGGAGGGGGCGGACCGGGGAGGGCUGAGAGGAGCCGAUGGGGGGGAGAGGGGCGCCCGCUAGCCGGGAGCCGAACCCCACACGCGGGGGGCUGAGCUCCCGGGCCGGCAGGAAGGGGGAGGCCGGCGACCGGGGCAUNNNNNNNNNNNNNNNNNNNNNNNNNNNNNNNNNNNNNNNNNNNNNNNNNNNNNNNNNNNNNNNNNNNNNNNNNNNNNNNNNNNNNNNNNNNNNNNNNNNNNNNNNNNNNNNNNNNNNNNNNNNNNNNNNNNNNNNNNNNNNNNNNNNNNNNNNNNNNNNNNNNNNNNNNNNNNNNNNNNNNNNNNNNNNNNNNNNNNNNNNNNNNNNNNNNNNNNNNNNNNNNNNNNNNNNNNNNNNNNNNNNNNNNNNNNNNNNNNNNNNNNNNNNNNNNNNNNNNNNNNNNNGGGGGGAACGGGGGGUCCUCCGCGCAGUCAGCCCAGGAGAAACGGCCCGGCGCCACUGCGGAGGCGGGGGAGGCCGGCCGAGCGGAGGCGGGGGAGGCCGCGGGGGAGGGAGGGGCGAGGCGGGAGGCCGCCGGCGAGGGGGCGGCGGCGUCGCGCGCAGGAUCGCCCGUAGGGUCGCCAGCCAUUCGUCCCAGCCAGUCCUUUCGUAUCAACCUUCGUACGUCAAACACUGUAGUUCCCAGGUCCAAAAAUUACCUUUGUCUGGUGUGUCUUUGAUUGAUCAUGUGCCAUUUUCAAAGAAGGCUGUCGUGUUUGUCGAUUCGGUCAUGGCUCUUAGUGUUUGUUGUUGUUGCUCGAUCUUCCCAUGGUAUGUAGUGCUACUCUGUUCUUCUUUCUGUGAAAGGAUAUGCUUUCUCCUUUAACAUACUGAAUGAAGUUUCAUGAAGAAAGAGUUGUUUUAUGUUACUUCCGAGGAACUGGCAUUUUUGAUUCGUGCCAUGGUGAUUAACAGAGCAUCCAAUGGGAUAUUGCUUUUCUUCAGAAAGUAUUAUGGAUAUGAGGCCGCAAGCUUUCCGCAUGGCUCUCUGCCUAUUGUUUUGGCACAUCUUUGAAUUAAUUUCUUCAAUUUGGCGGGGCUGUUCAGACUUCAGAUUUUUUUUUGGUUUGAAUGUAAGUAAUAUCCCUCUUUGUGCAUGUGUGCUUCUAUGUAUUUCCGGCUUCUCUAUUCACUGCCUAUGGAAUGCUUAUAUAUAUUAGCCUGUAGUUUACUAUUUUGAUCUCAGUUCAUAUUUUUGAUGCAUUUAUUUAAACUAAAAUAACUUGGAUAAUAAGCCUUUCCAUUUAAGUACUAUCUGUAUUUCCUUUGAGAGCAAUUUAGCUCAUAAAGAAAAAAAAUGCUUCAUAGCCAUUCUUACAUUGUCUAUAGCCAAUACUCCUAUUUGAAGCUAUUGAAGAAUUUCCCAUUUUUCUCUAAUACGAAGUACCUUCUCUGACGUGCGGUUAGCAUAUAUAUAUGAUAUGGCUACAACAUAUAUAGUUUUCCUUCUAAGACUGCUGCAAAUAAUCUCAUGCUUGCUGUCAUCAUAUACACAUAGUAUAGAUGAAGUUGGAUGAUAAUUCUCUCGUAUCACUAUGUGGAGCCUGAGCCUCAUACCAAGGUAGUCAGAAUCCCGACUCGACUGCUAGAAUCCUACGACUUCACGACCCUACGAAAGCAUGUCGAUCCAAGUCCCACUAUGAUUCCAGAUCAGGUAGAGUCCAUGUUGAGUCGCGAUCCAUAUCAUAGAAUCCAGUACAAAACCGCGGAAUCCCGACUAUGCUAUGGACUAUGCCCGAUUCUACUAAAUUAUCUAAGCCAUUUGUUUAGUUGUAGCAGAAUACUAUGCCGUCAUUCGGACCCUUUUUCACAUGCUCAUGGCCCUUUAUUCCCCUCCCAAGCCCAAACGCUCAGUCGCUGACAUCUUUAUUUGGCUCUCAGAAACCCUAGAUCAAAAUGAGGAUCAGGCUUGUCGACGGAUGGAAUUAGCAUAAGAAGGAGGAUGCGUCAAGAUCAAUCGGAGAAGGAGAGAAAGAUCCGUCAAGGUUCAACACUGCGGAUUAGCUAUACAAGUGAUCGACUAUUCAUGAACUCUUAAAAAACCUCCUAAGUAAAUUUCAUGCACGAAAGAUUUAAAGGUUCUAUAUAUUUCCCUCUCAUAUGUGUUCCAUACAUGCAAGCUAGAUUGUAGGAUAGCCAUGAAAAAAAGUGGAAUACAACUAGCAUUGAUGUGUACGUUUUUUCUCUAUAUUUAUUAUUAGAACUCCAUAGAAUCCAUAUAAAUUUUCGGCGUGGAUACAAAAUAUCUUAUUUGAGAAAAUCUAGUAGAAUCCUCGAUUCCACGACUCGAUACUACGACUCGAUUCUGUCUAAGGAAAAUCGAUCCGACUCCGAAUCCCGACUUUGACUACCUUGCCUCAUACUAAUCUUGCACGGUCAAGUUUAUUCCUGCAAUUUAAUGUUACGAUUUAUGCUAAUGUAAACAUGACCAAGCUAGAGGAGAGCUUUGGUUUUUUUUCGUAUUUGUUCUGAUAACAUAAUGUCUCCUAGGUUCGAUACUGUCUUCUCUCCAAUCUUGUUCCCUUCCCAGCUUCCACCCAUCUUCAUGAGCAAGUGUAGCUCCAUCCAUGACAAAGGUAUAUAGAUCAGAGAGGUCUGAGGAGGGACAGGGUUGGAAGCUAGGAAGGGAAGUAAACUUCCUGAGCUUCAGUUCUAGGUGAAAAGAGAGUGUUUUUUAUUUUGUAUUUACUUUUUUUUUCUCCGACCAAAGAAUUGUUUUGUUGGACUAUACGACUGGAUUGAAGUUGCUAGCCUGAACGCAAAUUUCCUUGAGAUGGUUCAUUACCAAAAUCCUUAAGAGAUGUUUGAAGGUGGGUCAGUGAGUGGUGAUGAUGUUCAUGAGAAUUCCCACACAUUGGUAAUUUUUAUAUGGAGGUGCAGAGUGCCAGGAUCUCAAAUCUAGAGCAAUCUUGUGUCAGUGUUCACGUAUUGUGAUUAUCUAUGUGGCAUUGGGAUAGUAAGUUCCCCCGUCCAUACAAGGGCGCUAUUUACAAUAUGAGGGAACUUAUGAUUUAUAGGAGCUACAACUUAUGAUUUAUAAUGCUGCUCUUCCAUGGUUAUAUAUAAAAUAAAACAAAUUAAGUCUUUCCUUUCGGUUUUCAUCACAGUUCCUUUUCAUGAUUCUGUAGCACUGGAAUGAUUAGUUUGUUCUUCAGUAACUUCUUCUUCAGUAUCAUAGUUAGUAAACAUAUGAGGUUUGGCAAGUUAGUAUUUACCAUUGAUGCUUGAAAUAAAUAGCAUGACUGGUGUUGCACCAUGUGUGUGUAGGUUUUUCCUUUUAGUUUACUUAUAUAUGCCUCUCCUAUAUUCUAAAACAAAUUCGAACUGUUAGUAUUUACCUUAAUCUCUUCCACAUGGAAGAUAGGAAAACUACAUACGGAAGGAUGAGUUCUAUAGCGUAUCAGAUUCAGGCAUUUGCACUAUUUUCUUGAUUACCUCACUAUGAUUAUUGUUGUAGACUUUUAGUAUAUUCCUCACAGGCGAACCCGUAUUUUCUUCAAAUCUAUAGCACACAUCUUUUUGCUAUAGUCAUUUCGCCAUGGAUGCAACAGUCUAGGAAAACAAGAUACCUGUCUGUUUUCAUUCAUUUGCCUUUUUAUGUGAGAAGUGCCUCCAUGGGAUUAGCGACGUGUAUUUAUGCUUACCCCUUUUUAGUGUUUGGUGAAGCCGAUGGACUGUGAACAUUAUGUACCACAUAUUCUGGCCUUUUGCCUUUUUAUUACUUAUAAUAUGUCAUGACAAUUUAUUUUCCUGAGUCAUUUAGUCAAACUAGCCAGUCAAGGAUAGCCAAUGGUCUUUUGGCUAUUUGUUUGUUCAUUUAAUUCAACAUGCAUGUUUCUGGAGUAGUCUUGGCGCAAGACACAUAAUCAAAGUUGAUUUUCUUAUAAGCUGAUCAUCACAUAGCUAAUUGGUAGUUACACUAGCUGAGCUUGUCCUAUGCUCAUUGUACAGGAUAGAUAGUGUAUGUGAUCUUCUUGAUGAGGAGAAGUCUUUUUAGAGAUUCCAAUAUAAAUUACAUACGGAUGUAUAUAGACAUAUUUUAGAAUGUAGAUUCACUUAUUUUGUUCUGUAUGUAGUCCGCAUUGAAAUCUCUAAAAGGACAUAUUUAGGAACGGUGGGAGUUGGAUACGAUUAAGUAUUUAAAUUAGCCAUAUGAGCACUGUUUCUUUGAGUGCCACAAGGAUGUCAUCUUUAUUCACAUGUUAUGUGUUAUGUGUUAUGUCACAUCAACUUCUGCCCUUUUGUUUUCUGCAGAACACAACAACUGUUCGUCACCUAAAAGGACAGGAUGACACCAAAGGAGUUAUGAUAGUAGCACUUAUAGGCAUCGAGGAAUUGACAAAGAGAUUACGCUUCAUAGGUAUGAAGUUAGAACAACGGCUGGAAACUAUCAAAGGCCGUUUCUAAUUACCUUUGUUGGAUCUGUCUUACCUACAAUGCAUGUGUGACCCCUGGAGAAGCCACUUUUUGUUUCUUCUGCAGUAUACUCCAUGUUUAGUUCCAAUGAUGCCCUAACCCUUUUGUUCCUGCUCUGAAGAAUAAGACAUGUAUAGGCUUCAGAUUUUUGUAAUCAUCUAUGUGCUAAACAUCCCUUUGUGGUCAUGUGUUUUAUAUGUAAUCAAGUAUCUAUCCAUGAUGAUAUAUAUGCCCAGCUAAUGUUUGAAAAGAUCCAUCAUCUGUAUCACCACUGCUGGAUAACCGCUAUAAAUCUACUAGCAGUACCGGUCAUAUAAAAUAGCUACCGUUACUGAUGGAUAACCAUUAUAAAUAUAUCAG